AAGUGACGGUACCUGCAGAAAAAGCGCCGGCUAACUACGUGCCAGCAGCCGCGGUAAUACGUAGGGCGCAAGCGUUAUCCGGAAUUAUUGGGCGUAAAGAGCUCGUAGGCGGUUUGUCGCGUCUGCUGUGAAAUCUGGGGGCUCAACCCCCAGCCUGCAGUGGGUACGGGCAGACUAGAGUGCGGUAGGGGAGAUUGGAAUUCCUGGUGUAGCGGUGGAAUGCGCAGAUAUCAGGAGGAACACCGAUGGCGAAGGCAGAUCUCUGGGCCGUAACUGACGCUGAGGAGCGAAAGGGUGGGGAGCAAACAGGCUUAGAUACCCUGGUAGUCCACCCCGUAAACGUUGGGAACUAGUUGUGGGGUCCAUUCCACGGAUUCCGUGACGCAGCUAACGCAUUAAGUUCCCCGCCUGGGGAGUACGGCCGCAAGGCUAAAACUCAAAGGAAUUGACGGGGACCCGCACAAGCGGCGGAGCAUGCGGAUUAAUUCGAUGCAACGCGAAGAACCUUACCAAGGCUUGACAUACACGAGAACGCUGCAGAAAUGUAGAACUCUUUGGACACUCGUGAACAGGUGGUGCAUGGUUGUCGUCAGCUCGUGUCGUGAGAUGUUGGGUUAAGUCCCGCAACGAGCGCAACCCUCGUUCUAUGUUGCCAGCACGUAAUGGUGGGAACUCAUGGGAUACUGCCGGGGUCAACUCGGAGGAAGGUGGGGAUGACGUCAAAUCAUCAUGCCCCUUAUGUCUUGGGCUUCACGCAUGCUACAAUGGCCGGUACAAAGGGCUGCAAUACCGCGAGGUGGAGCGAAUCCCAAAAAGCCGGUCCCAGUUCGGAUUGAGGUCUGCAACUCGACCUCAUGAAGUCGGAGUCGCUAGUAAUCGCAGAUCAGCAACGCUGCGGUGAAUACGUUCCCGGGUCUUGUACACACCGCCCGUCAAGUCAUGAAAGUCGGUAACACCUGAAGCCGGUGGCCCAACCCUUGUGGAGGGAGCCGUCGAAGGUGGGAUCGGUAAUUAGGACUAAGUCGUAACAAGGUAGCCGUACCGGAAGGUGCGGCUGGAUCACCUCCUUU
This 1070-nucleotide ribosomal RNA is filed under the name Microbacterium aurantiacum. Its description in RNAcentral is "bacterial SSU rRNA". It matches the Rfam family "Bacterial small subunit ribosomal RNA", at positions 467 to 1533 of the family's 1533-position model. The record is from RNAcentral. Lineage: Bacteria; Bacillati; Actinomycetota; Actinomycetes; Micrococcales; Microbacteriaceae.